Ictidomys tridecemlineatus (thirteen-lined ground squirrel) is the source of this 543-nucleotide non-coding RNA. The record is from RefSeq and is a predicted model, not a curated record. Lineage: Eukaryota; Metazoa; Chordata; Mammalia; Rodentia; Sciuridae.
CUGACGUCACCGCGCACGUUGCGCGCGCGAUCACGUGCUGUCGCCGCCGCCCUGCGUGCGCGCUCUGUCCCGGCUCGGGAGCGAGCAAGCUGCGCAGAGGUAACUCCGGAGGUGGAGAGAGUGCAGGGGUCCGACGCGCAGGGUUUGAGACCCUCGGAGAGAGGGAGGACGACGCAGAGAUCCCGAGGACAGAUGGAAGGGACCGGGAAGAGACUCCUGUCUGAGGGAGGCCGCCUGAGUGAAAGCUGAGCGCCGGAGACGGUGGUGCCGGGAUGAAGGCGAGAGCUACGGUGGGGGCGCUGGGGUGGAGGUGAAGUGAAGGAAAGGAGGUCUCACUAUGUUGCUCAGGCUGACCCUCCAAGUUGUGACGUAGCCAAGGCUGGGCUGAUGCACUCCAGUAUCAAAAAGACUCAAAAUUGGAGUCUUUUGACGUAUACUACCAGAGAAAUGAAAAAGCUGUGCUCCAUUUGUGUACAAUGAACCAAAUGCAUUCUGCUGUCAUGUUAAUUAGAACAAAUAAAUAUAUAUAAAAAUAUAAAUGGA